This 193-nucleotide ribosomal RNA is filed under the name uncultured Paenibacillaceae bacterium. RNAcentral's name for it is "partial 16S ribosomal RNA". It matches the Rfam family "Bacterial small subunit ribosomal RNA", at positions 340 to 524 of the family's 1533-position model. Lineage: Bacteria; Bacillati; Bacillota; Bacilli; Caryophanales; Paenibacillaceae. The record is from RNAcentral.
UACGGGAGGCAGCAGUAGGGAAUUUUCCACAAUGGGCGAAAGCCUGAUGGAGCAACGCCGCGUGAACGAAGAAGGCCUUCGGGUUGUAAAGUUCUGUUGUCAGGGACGAAACCGUACCGUUUGAACAAGGCGGUACCUUGACGGUACCUGACGAGGAAGCCACGGCUAACUACGUGCCAGCGACCGCGGUAAU